GUGCAGCAGGCGCGAAUACUUUACAAUGUGCGAAAGCACGAUAAGGGAACUCUGAGUGCCUCCUAAGGAGGCUGUUCUGAUGUCUAAAAAGCAACAGAAGUAAGGGCUGGGUAAGACCGGUGCCAGCCGCCGCGGUAACACCGGCAGCCCAAGUGGUAGCCACGUUUAUUGGGUCUAAAGCGUUCGUAGCCGGCCAGGUAAGUUCCUUGGUAAAUUUAGCCGCUUAACGGUUAAGCUUUCAGGGAAUACUGCUUGGCUUGGGACUGGGAGAGGUCAGAGGUACUCCGGGGGUAGGGGUGAAAUCUAUUAAUCCCUGGGGGACCACCGGUAGCGAAGGCGUCUGACCAGACCAGGUCCGACGGUGAGGGACGAAGGCUAGGGGCGCGAACCGGAUUAGAUACCCGUGUAGU
RNAcentral lists this ribosomal RNA (410 nucleotides) under uncultured microorganism. RNAcentral's name for it is "bacterial SSU rRNA". It matches the Rfam family "Archaeal small subunit ribosomal RNA", at positions 330 to 745 of the family's 1478-position model. The record is from RNAcentral.